Molecule: long non-coding RNA, 1563 nt
Filed under: Malus domestica (apple)
Lineage: Eukaryota; Viridiplantae; Streptophyta; Magnoliopsida; Rosales; Rosaceae
Description: long non-coding RNA (MDOM_LNC006930)
Source: RNAcentral
ACCUUUUCAAUUUUUCAUUUCCUUAUCCCUCUCAUCUGUACUCUGGACGACUGGACCCUUUCCUUCCCACUCCCAGCUCCGCCGCUCUUCGUCUUCUUCCUUCCCACUCCCAGCGACCCGUCUCACAUCUCGUCGAUUUGCAAGUGUCGCUGACUCGCCGUCUCACUCUCAGUCUCUCACCCCCGUGACCCGUGACUUCCUCUCGCCUUUUCGAAUCUCAACCCACACGACUUCCUUCCUUUGCAAGGUAUUUUCUCUCAUGUUCUACAGAUUUUGUUUUUAAUUUCAUGGGUUUUGUAGAUUUUAUUUUCAAUUUCAUGGGUUCUGUAAUUUCAUGGGUUUUGCGAUUUGUUUUGGGUAUGCUAUUUCUGAACACUUAGUUGAAGCUAAUUUUGGGGUUCUAAAGUAGGUAGGUGUAGAGAAAUUUUCAAUAUUUAAGUCCAUUUGUUGAAUUUGCAUGCUAAAUUUGAGUUGGGAACUUUGCUUACUUGUUACGCAGUUGGAUUUUUGAGCUACUUUUGCAGUUUCUUCGUCUUAAUUUGCGAACAAUUUGAUCAUGUUUGACUUAUCAUUUUAUUUUUGGGGUAAUAUGUCAAGCUGGUAAUAUUUUUACCCCAUCAAUUCGAAAAGUUUUUGAUAGAUCCUUUUGAUAUUGGUGGAGAAAUUUGUAGUUAUAUCAGUCAAUCCGAUCGUCGGUAAUUCUGGUGGAUGCUUGAUUUUAAUGCUGCUGGUGCUGGAUACUUAGUCCCUUGAUAAUAUUCUUCUCUGCAUGUAUCUAAAUUUGUCGGUAUACAUUUUCGUAUAUUUUUUAUUUGUAAAUUUGUGAGUGUACUAAAGAGAUCAAAUGUAUUAUUUACCUCUUCAAGUUUGAUAGUUCUCAUAUAUAUGUGUAUAUAUUCUGAUACUCUUCUGGCUUUCCUUGGUUAAAAUGAAGAUCAAUUAUUGAUGCUUUCCAAUUUUUUUAUGUGCUGGGUCACAUUAUGUUGAUUGCUGUUGAGUCAACAAAUAGAGCAACACUGUGGAACUUAGCUAAAGUCAGCUACAGAUUUUGUUAAAAUCAUAAUGAAACAUACAGAGCACGGCAAUGAAAUAUACGGAGCAACAUGAUUCGGAUUCAGGACUACCUUUAUUCAUUGUCUUAGAAUGCUUAUGUUAUAAUUGUGUUGGAGAUGUUAAAAUUUUAGAUUACAAUUUUGUUUUCAUUUUUUCAAAAAAAAAACACCGAACUGGGCCGAAACCGAACUGAGAAAAACCGAAUCGAAUACAAACCGAACCGAACACAAACCGAUAGAAAAUCAAACCGAACCGAACAGUAAUUUUGGUUCGGUUUCCGGUUUUGGCAAAAAACCGAACCGAACGGAACCGAACCCACCUCUAAUGCUACUUACAAAAGGGGGCCAGAAGUUUCUUUUCUACAGUUUGGCAAUGGAUUUUAGUUUGUCAAUGAAUUUGUAGGCAAUUAUGUGUAGUGUAUAAUACGAUUGGCUUGAUAAAUUUUGAACAAUAUUAAUAUUGUCCACUAUCUAAAAUGAUUGAAUGUAAAUUUUUUUGGACCUUUUAGCC